RNAcentral lists this non-coding RNA (46 nucleotides) under Schistosoma curassoni. Lineage: Eukaryota; Metazoa; Platyhelminthes; Trematoda; Strigeidida; Schistosomatidae. The record is from RNAcentral.
GCACUUCUAAGGAGUCCCACAACAGGACGAAACGGCCUUCUAGUGC